Molecule: ribosomal RNA, 460 nt
Filed under: uncultured bacterium
Lineage: Bacteria
Description: partial 16S ribosomal RNA
Rfam family: Bacterial small subunit ribosomal RNA
Source: RNAcentral
CCUACGGGUGGCAGCAGUGAGGAAUAUUGGUCAAUGGACGCAAGUCUGAACCAGCCAUGCCGCGUGCAGGAAGACGGCUCUAUGAGUUGUAAACUGCUUUUGUACGAGGGUAAACGCAGAUACGCGUAUCUGUCAGAAAGUAUCGUACGAAUAAGGAUCGGCUAACUCCGUGCCAGCAGCCGCGGUAAUACGGAGGAUUCAAGCGUUAAUCGGAUUUAUUGGGUUUAAAGGGUGCGUAGGCGGUCGGAUAAGUUAGAGGUGAAAUCCCGAGGCUCAACUGCGGAAUUGACUCUGAUACUGUUCGGCUAGAGAGUAGUUGCGGUAGGCGGAAUGUAUGGUGUAGCGGUGAAAUGCUUAGAGAUCAUACAGAACACCGAUUGCGAAGGCAGCUUACCGGCUCCACACUGACGCUGAGGCACGAAAGCGUGGGUAUCGAACAGGAUUAGAUACCCGAGUAGUC